RNAcentral lists this ribosomal RNA (327 nucleotides) under uncultured Clostridiaceae bacterium. RNAcentral describes it as "bacterial SSU rRNA". It matches the Rfam family "Bacterial small subunit ribosomal RNA", at positions 28 to 339 of the family's 1533-position model. Lineage: Bacteria; Bacillati; Bacillota; Clostridia; Eubacteriales; Clostridiaceae. The record is from RNAcentral.
GAUGAACGCUGGCGGCGUGCCUAACACAUGCAAGUCGAGCGAGAAGCACUUCGAUGAAACUUCGGUAGAUUCUGGUGCGGAAAGCGGCGGACGGGUGAGUAACGCGUAGGCAACCUGCCCUUAGCAGGGGGAUAGCCAUUGGAAACGAUGAUUAAAACCCCAUAAUACGGAGACACCACAUGGCGUUUUCGUCAAAGAUUUAUCGGCUAGGGAUGGGCCUGCGUCUGAUUAGGUAGUUGGUGAGGUAACGGCCCACCAAGCCUACGAUCAGUAGCCGACCUGAGAGGGUGAUCGGCCACAUUGGAACUGAGACACGGUCCAAACUCC